CGAACGGGUGAGUAACAUAUCGGAACGCACCGGGUAGCGGGGGAUAACUGAUCGAAAGAUCAGCUAAUACCGCAUACGUCUUGAGAGGGAAAGCAGGGGACCUUCGGGCCUUGCGCUAUCCGAGCGGCCGAUAUCUGAUUAGCUGGUUGGCGGGGUAAAGGCCCACCAAGGCGACGAUCAGUAGCGGGUCUGAGAGGAUGAUCCGCCACACUGGGACUGAGACACGGCCCAGACUCCUACGGGAGGCAGCAGAU
RNAcentral lists this ribosomal RNA (254 nucleotides) under uncultured Neisseria sp. RNAcentral describes it as "partial 16S ribosomal RNA". It matches the Rfam family "Bacterial small subunit ribosomal RNA", at positions 99 to 354 of the family's 1533-position model. Lineage: Bacteria; Pseudomonadati; Pseudomonadota; Betaproteobacteria; Neisseriales; Neisseriaceae. The record is from RNAcentral.